Molecule: long non-coding RNA, 7734 nt
Organism: Pezoporus occidentalis (night parrot)
Lineage: Eukaryota; Metazoa; Chordata; Aves; Psittaciformes; Psittacidae
Exons: 7
Source: RefSeq, a predicted model, not a curated record
GGUUCUGUUCAACACUUUGGAUAUCAAUGGGAAUUCCUUCUCCAUGGGCAUUCUGGCUGAAAACCUUAAAUGCUCACAUCUGAGGAUGUGUAGUCAAAUCUAGCUUCGAUGCAACUUUUAUUAACCAGAUGGUAACAUCUUACUUACACUUCCCAUAUAAAACCAUCUGUGCUUCGACUGGGGAGAUGCUGUCUCUUGCUACACUUGGGAGUUUGGCUGCAGGGGGUGUAGCAUUGCUUUUGUUAGCAUCCAGUCUCCCUCUCUCAUCAGAGCUGAAUAUGUAACACUGGUUUUAUUUAACCUUGUUUUAAUUAGAGGGUUACAAAGCUGCAGUUGGCUUUUUCUGCACCAGUCGGUUGGCACUCUGGAUCUUGCUGCCUUUAAACAAAACUGAAAUUUCUUGCCUUGUUUUCCCUUGGUAUUGAAACUGCAGUCGGCUUCCUCUGUUUUCAUCCAAUGGCUCCUGCAUCUUGCCUUCUCCACCACUAAAUCCUCCUCUUCCUCGGUAUGAAAUUCUAGCUCUGCUUGACAUCAGCCUCACUAAGGUCAGGCCUUCUGCCUGGGUGUUUGUUUUCUUUAAGCACUCAUAGCUUGUUGCUGUGCCCAACAUUUCCUUGAGCCAAGUUCAACACCUCCAUCUCCACCAUCUCUGUUGCUUUUCUAUGAACUCCCUUGAAAUCAUAGCGUUGGGUGCCCAGAAAGGUCUGUGCUAUUUCAGGUGUUGUCUAACCAGUAACCUCAUGGAGAAACUAUUUUGCUCUCAGCUUUGCCAGUUGGUUGUGUUGUUUAUUUUUCUUGUUUCACUGACAGAUCGAGUUGCAUUUCAUGUCAUUAAUAAAGAUGUAAAAGAAUAUCAAACCUAACAGUGACCUCCGAAUGGAAUCCACCAGCUCUGCCAGCAGUGCACUCUCUUGGUUGCCUUCUUGCUUUUCUCCCAUCUAGCUCUUUGCCUUCAUGGACUAUUCCAAUCCAAGCCAAUUUGAGUUAAUCUUAUGUGAUGGGAAGAGACACUACGCUAAAGGCUUCAUCACAGUAACAAUCAGAUACAUGUGGAAACCAGAUGUUGUCUUCUAUGAACAUUUGCAUAAUUUGGAAAGGAAUUUGAAAGGAAAUUUGUUUCUCUUCUGUGUCAAACCAGACUGAGAUUUGCUACAAAGUGAGAUUUUUUUUCAAUGAGAAAAAACACUCAGUGAUAAAAAUUGGCUGAAUGACAUUUUUAUGUUAAUUUAAAUUAUUUAAGCUUAUGCAAAACUGAAAUGGAAAAGACAAAAUACUCCAAUAAAAUCAAAAUACUCCAAAAAUGCUGAUAAAAUCCAGCUGUGCUGACACAAUGCAAGGUACCUCCACAGAACAGCAUUUCCCAGCAUAAAACUUUCUGAUGAGAGCAGUAUUGACUUGUAUCAAUAGCCUCUGAUAUGUAACCCCCAACCCAAGGAGAACUCUCGUUUCCUGGAAGAGAUGUCUUUGCAGAGGUGCGUGUCUUUUCUCAUCUCAAGUAUUUAGUUCUUUUUGAAUCUGCUACAGACAAUGAGAUUAUCUUCAGGAAGGAGGGGGUACAAACCAGCCUACAGCUGCCCUGGGCUCAGCACGAGCAUCCUUGCUCGGGGCUUUCCCAUCUAACAGAUCUUAUUUGUAUUUCAGGCUAACUCAGGGUUCUCUGUGGCUUGCCUGAAGAAGACUGUGUUGGGAAUAUCAGUCAGGGUCAAAGCAGCCCAUUUGCUUUGGCAAGCAUGGUGUGAGUGUAGUUAGCUGAGUGGCUGACCACUGCCUUCACUCUGUGUAUGGACAGUCCUGGCCAUUUAUCUUGGGUGAUGGCCAGCAGUUCCUGCUAGCCUCAUGUUACAGGGCUGUGUUUGAACUCAUCUCCAUCGUCCCAGGCAUCCACAUGUGUGACACACACACAUGCACCAUGCCACAGAUGCUGUAGAUUGGCUGCAGCUGAGAUAAAUAUUAUUCCUAUAUCAUGAUGAGGAUGAAAAUGUCCUUUUGGAGGGUUUGGAAGAGGAGGCUCGGUUUGUUGUGGUCUGCCCUUGGGCUCCUUUUGACUUUUUCUUUCCUGAAAACAGGAGAAAACCCAGCCUGCGAACGAAGGGGAUUUCAGUUCUCACUCGGACCUUGAUCAGGAAAACAGAGCACAUUGUUUGUGAUGGCAGCCUCCACCAAAACAGCUCAGGGGCCAAGUUAAGGCUAAGGAAGAAAUUCAGCCUUCCCAGCAAUGAGAGAUCUGCGUGCUUUCUUCCCUUGCUUCCACUGGUUUCUGUGCAUGCAGCGCUCUGCUUGCUGUGGCCACAUCAUCUGCAAGGUCCCAUUCCCCUUUCUAUCCCAAAGGGGUUGGCGGCACAGCCUCUAAUCCUCAAAGUGAACAUCUUAAGGGCUGGAAGACUGAAAAUCCCUUCCCUGAACUGUGAGGGAAUCCUGCCUUGCUGGGGAGUUGUUCACAGGCAAAGCGGUUUUUACUGUGUCCAUCAGAUGACUUUGGAAAUCAGAUGCAGGAAACAGAUUCAAUGGCUGAUGAUUUGUUUUCCAUCUAUUUAACCUUCAUCAGCAGAUAAACUACCAGGAGUGACAGGACCUGGAUGCAGAGUCCUUACACACUUAAGCACAUGUGUAAACCUGACUUCUGUUCGAUCUAAGCCUCUGUCUCACAUAAAUGCAGAAACUGGAAUCGAUGCAACGAGUCAGAGCAAACACAGACUGAGCCAUAGGGUUUCUCACUAUAAAUGGAAACUGACCUCAAAGAUGAUUGCAGCCAAACCAUCCGUUUGCAGGUGAACUCAAACCAGAAUGAAGCUCUAAAGCACAAAUCGGGUCCAAAGCAUCCCUUGCCUGGAGCAUGGACCGCUGGAUGGGUGCAUCUUGGCUGAGCCACGGUGAGCAGAGGUCCAUGGAAUGGUGCCCAGCAGUGCAGCGCAGGCAGCAAGGCACGAGCUCUGCAUAACCACAGCAGUGACAACGGAUGCAACCAGUCCAGUGUGUCAGUGACACUGGUAUGACUGUGGCCCCUGAGCUCUCUGACCCAUAACCAGGGACAUCCUUGCUUCAUCUCUCCAGCUGACCAGCCUCUUGGUGACCAUGAAAGGACCUUAUUUCGUGGAGCAGACACGAGUGUCCGAAGCACCAAGAAGACAGUUGUGAGUGUGCUUGAGCAUAAGCCUGCCACCACAAACCCCUGGAGACCAGCGAUACCUGUCCUGUAGAACCCUUGGCAUGAGCAGGGCUCUUAGGUCUGGCUCAGCAAACCCUGUCACAUCAGCAAGAGAAGAGGUGGAUGAGCCUCAUUCAUGUGCUAUGCAUGAAGGCAGGGCUGGGCUGGGCUGGAUUUUCUCCCUUUUGCUUUACCAAGGUGAUGCUGGGCAGGCUGCUCCCCUGGGAUGGUGCUGGACCAGAUGAGGGUGCGUGUCCACUGGUGGAGGUAUUUACGGACCUUACAACAUAUGCUUAGGGUGGUGGGACUCCUGGGUGUGCUUUGUGGCUGUUUGGUGUAUCUACUGCUUACUGCUAGGUAGUACUGAGCAGGUAACCUGUGGUGUGGGUAGUUGUUAAUGAGGUUUCUUUUGACAUGGGUGGAAAAAGCUGUUGUGGUCUCUGAUCACUUCUUCAGCAAACACUGUUAAUGGAGCAGUCCAGAGAGCAAACAGGACUUCUGUCUCUUGGAUUAGGGAUAUAGAAGGAUAUUAGGGAUAUAGAAGGAUAUUAGGGAUAUAGAAUAGAAGGGAGAGCAUAUUUUGUGUGGUUCAGAGAAUUAAAUCUGAUAGGUCAGGAGCUGACCUGAGCUUGGUUUCACAGACCAAGAUAGGGAAACAAGCAACAGUUAGAGUAGGCAUGUUACUUUAGAUUAGUGCCGGGCACCCAGGGGUGCUCCCUGGGCUGUACAUUAGUGUAACAUACUUUCCUCACCAAAAGUAGACCUCUCUGUUGUGCUGGUAGCUAAACCAGACCAGUCAUGUGAGUGAAGUCCCAGAGAGCAAUGCUAUUCCAGGACAGGAAUAGAGUUUUAUUUUAAACUCCUUCAAACUGAGAUUAUCUGCAUGAAAAUAGGUAUUUGUAUACCAGGAUUAAAGUGUCCAUGUGGGAAGUUACACCAGUGCAUCCAGAUUACCUGGAGCUUUCAUCCCAAGGAAACUGAGCUGAGGUUCAGUAUUACUUGGUUUGGGAUGGGAGUGGGGGUGAGCUGGGGAGUGGAUGUUGUUUGUUCCCAAGGGAGGAUGGAUUUUCCAAUAUGGUUUCCUGCAGAAAAUUCCAAGUUCCCAGAAGUUGCAUUUGCAUUUGCUUGCCUGAAAGACCCAUUGCAGUGGAGAACUCCUGGCGAGCUCUGAAGCUCAGUUAUUUUGGGGUGAGCCUAUGUAGAGAUGUCAGCAAUGCAGCCAACUAUUAGCUAAGUUACUGCAGAAUUUGAUCUCUUACAUAUUUCUCUUUAAUGGAAACAGAGGCAUCGACAGACUCAGUGGUUAUUUAUGUUCCAGAUAACUCCCUGCCCUUGGUUUGGAGAAACCUUCAUUGUUCUCUUCUGCUCAGGGAAUGAUUUCUUUAAUGCAACAGUCUCUCCUGGUAAGUACCAUAAAAUAGCAUGUUGGGAUGAUGGAAGCCAUAUACAUGUCUUACAAGCCCAGUGCUUGCUGUGCUGUGGGACAGAGCCCUCAAUCUUGGCUGUCUGAGCACAGUGCAGGGCAGCACACAGGCAGCAUCCCACCCACCCAUGUGGUGCAGGCUGUGCUCCUGCCCCUGCACUGCCUCCCCCCAAUUCCCCAGCCAUGACCUUACUGUAGCUAUUUCCAUGCCUGUAAAUCACACUGCCUGCGGGAGACGAUGCUGUUCAUUAUGUCACACGCAGACAGAUUUACAGCGUGCAGCAACAGUCACAGCUAUUCCUACUUGAAAUGACGUGAGAUCUGCACUCAGUGGGCUCCCUGUAAAUCACAGCCAGGUCCGUGCAUGGGCUGAGGGGCUCUUCCCACCCACUGGCAAAGGCUGUGGUUGUUGGUGCUGACAUGCGAAAAGAAGUUUGUUUUCAAACAAAGUUAGUUUUCAGGCUCAGCCCCCCAAAACCAACCUACCAUCACUCCAAAUGGGCAAAGUGGGAACUUGUCUGUAGAUGCCCAUCUCCUAGGGCACCACCAGAGCUGGGCUGCAUUAUCCCUGUGCCCAGCUGAUGUCUUUUCCCUCCCUUUCCUCCCUGUUGACCUUUGCAGUUCAGCUAGAAAAAGAAGCCAGAACCAAGUUUCCACCUGAGGGGAUGUCAGCUGAAUGCCAGGGCAUCCUAGUGGAGUAUGCCUAAUACCUGGGCCUAGCCUUGCCCCAAGAAAGCAGUCCAGGUUCAGCUUCUUAUGUCCCAGAGUGGACACUCAGAGCUGAAACGUGGGACCAUCUUCAGCCCUUCCUGUAAGCCUCUUUUGCAAUCAGUGCUCUCUGUAGGCAGGAAGUCUGGGUUGGAUGCCAGGGCAGAGCUGCAAGAGGAAAACCAACAGUUCCUGAAUGAUCCGUUUAAACAACAAAUGAGUGGAAUGCCCACUUGGCAUGCAGUCAUUUUCCAUUUCCUGGCUCCCCAGUGAUUUCCAGUGCUGUUGCUGUGUAAACCCACAGAGCAAACAUCUUGUGUUACCACCCACUUGCUCACUGAGUGGCUUCCCAGAGUCUGGGCAUCCAUGAGAUGCCUCUGUCUCGCUUUCAGGUCCAGCUCUGCUGGCUCAGCCACCUCCAUGUGUUUUAGUGCAGAGUGAGCAUCCCCCACAGGAAUUCAUGGCAGUUCAUCUCUUGGCUGUGUUUAGGGUAAUCCUAUGUUUUUCUCAUAACAAGAAAGAGCAUCUGUGACACCCGUAGGCAGCGCUCCAGCAGUUAAAGGGUAUGCCAGAAAGGGCCUCUCAUUUGUCUCUUCUCCUUUGUCUCCCUGUGCAGUGGUGGCAGUGAUUCAUUAGAUGGACCUUCUUCCACUGCUGUCUUGCUAAAGCUAGGAUUCUAACUGACUUGAUUGACUUCCAGCACAAGAAUUGCCCUGAUUUUCCCAGGUGACCAAGAAAAGCUGGGUCUGCCUCAGGGGGCUACCUACCUUACUGCUGGGUGGGCUCUUUUUUUGGCAAAUGCUAUGUUUUUUUGGGCACGAGGCAGUGGGGAUGGGUGAAGCAUCAUUGCUUCCAGGUUAGAGGAAGCCAAAGGACUGGAACCCAAACCCCUGGGCCUGCUUUGUAGGUGGAAUCCUUUGGCUUUGGAGGGCUCUUGCAGUUUCCCCAAGGCAGGGCAAGUCCAGAGAGUGGUCACAGCCCUUGUCAGCACAGUAAGACUUGCCCUGACAGCCCCAGGCAGGCAGCAAAUGCCUGGAGCCGUGCUUGGUGCUGCUGCUGCUCCAAACCCCUCUGAGUGCUGAGGGCAUCCCUUCUUCUCUGUGGAUGCAGAUGAUGCUCCAAGUGCAGGUGGCAGGGAGACCUGGCAUGUCCCAGUUCCUCGUGCACAUCCCACCUUAACUGCUUUGCCAUCCCCAGCAUCGAAGCUGCUUGACAUCAGCUUGGCCACGGUGGGCUCGUGUGACUGCCUCCCUUGUGCUCCUUCACAAGUCCAAUGAGACGGCCCCAGUUCAUGUUACCUGGGUAUAAUGCCUCGGGGCUUUUCUGUUUGGACACUGCAUGUGGAAGGCAGCUGUCAAUUAGCAGAUGGAAAACCAGCCUGGAGUGCUAAUGAGAGCAAACCUAAUAGAGACCUUCCCAAAUUGUUUCCAUCCAGUUCUCAGGGCCUUUAAUUGCUGUCAUAUUAUCAGGAUGCCAGAAGGAAAACACAGGGGAAAAAGCCCCUUUCGGAGGUGGAUUUGUCUCUGCCAGGACUGACUCAGAGGCAGCUUCUCCCCUAAAUUUCAUUUACAGGAGUCUCUUCACUUGGUUCCAAAGUUACAUUUGGGGCUGGGCCAGCUCCUGCAAUGCCUUUUUCCCCACAGUGAGGGUGGGAGCAGGAUGUUCUACCAGCCACCAUGGCCAGAUGGAAGGCUGGGAACAGAUGCUGUCUCCUACGCACCCCCAGUGCUUGAUGUUGGCUUUUUCUUAAGGAAUGUAGUGAAAAAGGGAAUAUGAUGUACUGCAACAGCAAUGGUAAAAUGCUUAAUAUUCCUCUAUUCUUACCAAAGAAAAGGCUUCCUGAUUGCUGUGUUGGUAAGGGCAGUGAUGGAGCCCCAUUGCAUUAGGCACUAAAAAGAAAGUGAGAGGAAAAGGCAAUGAAUGAAGCAUGGAGAGGACAAGAACAAGAAAACAAAGUGGUUUCUGAAGCUAUUAUAUAUAGACAGAAAGACUUACCUUUAAUCCCUGCAUGUAUUUACAGGUACCCAUUGUUGGCAGUGGAUAUAUUUACCUGAGGGGCUUUUCUCAGGCUCACUCUUUGAAAUGAGGGGUGAAUGGCUGCUCUCUUGUGGUUAUAGUGUUAGUUUUCUGCAGUGGGAUUGGUGUUCCUUGCAUGACGCAGGCCCCUAACAUACAUUAUGUUGCCCGGCAUUCAUUUUCUUGCUCUCAAAAGCUUGUGGCUCUGUAUAUAUUAUGUGCCUGCUUGUCUGCCUGCAUCACCAUCCUGGUCCAAAGGUAUCCAUCAUCUGAGGAUUUGCUCCUGCAGUGUCUGGCCUCAUACAGUUGUUUGUUUCUGGAUUUGAACUGUGGUGGAUGUGCUUUGUCCAGCCCUCAGCUAAUACAAAAGCCACAGGAGAGCACAUGCUCUUGAAGAUACUUGAGAAAUAAGGAUUAAAAACACGUGUUCCAUGGAGAUAAA